AAAUGGAGAGAUAGGAAUCUGAGUCCAUAAUCCUUGCCUCUUUAUCUCCAUCUCACCCUGUCUCCCAGAGCUUGACAGCCUUCCAGCAGUGGAUUAACAGUGAGCAGGACCAGAUUCCAGAAAAAGAAAUGGCUUGAAUCUCACAGUCAUUCAUGCCCUGGGCAUGCAUGCUUCUCUUCUCCAACCAAUUAGUUCUCUGGUCCAAGCUGACCCAGAUGGGAAGUCAUUGUUUAUGGAUCUACCUGAACUUCUCAGCACUUGCCAGCUCUGCAAGUUGGUAUGUAGAUAGGCACACAGGACACAUUUGCUCCCUGGCUAAAAUGGUGAGCCUUUCUCUGCUGGCGUGCUUAGAAACAGCCAGCUGUUUGGCAACCCCCCUAGCUCAUCUACCCAGUGGGAGUUCAUCUAGAGAGUAACU
RNAcentral lists this long non-coding RNA (418 nucleotides) under Bos taurus (domestic cattle). RNAcentral's name for it is "long non-coding RNA NONBTAT013943". The record is from RNAcentral. Lineage: Eukaryota; Metazoa; Chordata; Mammalia; Artiodactyla; Bovidae.